GGAGGAGGCACAUGAGGAGCCGAUGGUGCACUAGAAGAAGUAGACCCAUAGACUCUCUGAGUGUACUGAGUCUCGGGGACAGUCUCCUGGCCCGAAGAACUGGGAGCGGAAGAAGAGGCCGGGUCUAAACGACUACCCGGCUCACCGAAGAUCUCUCUAUAAUGGGCAGUAAGUCUUCCUUUUCGAACCUGGAAAAAAAAAUGAAAUUUUUGAAAUUAACAUCAACAAUAUAUUUUCCAACAUUAUCCACCUAAUCAACACUAAAUAACAUAAAAUCCGCAAACCUAUCUAAAUUCUCUAUACUAACCACCUAAUCUAUCCUAAACUAACCAAAUUAGAGAGGAAUCAGGCUUACCAUUGCUACGAAAUGGAGAGGAAGUAGAGAGGAAGU
RNAcentral lists this long non-coding RNA (391 nucleotides) under Brassica napus (rape). RNAcentral describes it as "long non-coding RNA (BNAP_LNC011109)". The record is from RNAcentral. Lineage: Eukaryota; Viridiplantae; Streptophyta; Magnoliopsida; Brassicales; Brassicaceae.